This 85-nucleotide transfer RNA is filed under the name Methanofollis formosanus. It matches the Rfam family "tRNA". Rfam says of the family: Transfer RNA (tRNA) molecules are approximately 80 nucleotides in length. Their secondary structure includes four short double-helical elements and three loops (D, anti-codon, and T loops). The record is from Rfam by way of RNAcentral. Lineage: Archaea; Methanobacteriati; Methanobacteriota; Methanomicrobia; Methanomicrobiales; Methanomicrobiaceae.
GCGAGGGUUGCCGAGCCGGGUCAAAGGCGCUGGAUUUAGGGUCCAGUCUUGUAGAAGUUCGAGGGUUCGAAUCCCUCCCCUCGCA